This 258-nucleotide ribosomal RNA is filed under the name uncultured bacterium. Its description in RNAcentral is "partial 16S ribosomal RNA". It matches the Rfam family "Bacterial small subunit ribosomal RNA", at positions 524 to 777 of the family's 1533-position model. The record is from RNAcentral.
UACAGAGGUCUCAAGCGUUUGUUCGGAUUCAUUGGGCUUAAAGGGUGCGUAGGUGGUUGCGUAAGUAAGGUGUGAAAUCCCUCGGCUUACCCGGGGAAUUGCAUUUUAUACUGCGUGGCUUGAGGACUAAAGGGGGAAAAGGGAACUCCAGGUGUAGCGGUGAAAUGCGCAGAUAUCUGGGGGAAGGCCGGCGGCGAAGGCGCUUUUCUGGUUAGUACCUGACACUGAGGCACGGAAAGCGUGGGGAGCCAAACAGGG